This is a long non-coding RNA of Solanum pennellii, 1485 nucleotides long. RefSeq lists it as uncharacterized. The transcript has 2 exons. The record is from RefSeq and is a predicted model, not a curated record. NCBI's taxonomy places the organism in Eukaryota, Viridiplantae, Streptophyta, Magnoliopsida, Solanales, Solanaceae.
CUAAUACAUUGAGUCGCCCUACUAAGACAAUGAAAAAUUGUAACUAAGAAUGAGUGUAUGCUUUGCAAUUCUGUUAUCAUUUAUGAGGAAUUGUGAGACCACCCAUUGAAUGUUGAAACCCAAAUUCUUCCUCUGCUUUCUGAAGCAAUUCCUGGAAAGAACUGUGAUUCAGGUAUGCAAUUGGAACUACGUAUCUUUUCUUCUCUGUUUCUCCAACGUAAACUGCUAAAUGUCCUUUUGGUACAUCUGAUAUUUGAUUCCGAGUUACAACAGAGUGUAGUUUGUGAAAUUGCCUCAAACUAGAAAUAAUUGAUGGUAAACGAAUAAUACCCAUCACUAGAUCUUGAUUUUGAAGAUAAGUUUUGGUAUUAGAACUUGUUGAGAGGAAUAAUGCACUGAAGGUGUUUGAUGAUUUGACUGAAUUGUUCUAGUCUAUAUUUAUAGGGUUUGCCCACCUGUCUCAUGUGAUAAUGGCCCUACUUCACAUGCCUCAUCAACAAAUUAAAAUGUUUCCCUUUGAAUAACUAAGUCUACAAGUUGUUACAUUGUGGUUUGCUUGCACAAUUACCAUUUAUAUCCAUCCAAUCAUUUGAUGGACAAUCUCACCAAAAGUAAGUCACUAGUUUUUACUAAGAAAACAAGUUAGAUUUUGCUAGACGUCGUCGCACCGGGCUUGUCUAGAGUCGAUUAUUGCAUAGGAAUAGAGGUUUUUACGCUGUGCGCAUCCAAUGAAUAGUAACUGCGAAUUUCCCUUGUUAUUAAAAAAAAAAAAAGUGGAAACAAUUACUUUGAAAGUUUCUAAUCUUCUAUGAAUCCACUUGACUUGAUUAUUAUCUAGUCCUGAAUUUUGGAUGGCCAUAAACUGUCUGGUUUCCACUUUUCUCCCAUUGUUUCCACUUUGGACAUGUAUAUAUUAAAAAAUAUAUUGUUUGUGUCAAAAUAUGAAACGAACCAACAAACAAAUAAUUAUAUAUGUUGCUCUAUAAUUCUUUACUAGUAUCCAAUUGCAACUCCCAUACUGCCUUCUUGUCCUUGGGGUUGUGCAAAAAGUUGUGAAGUCAUUUAUCAUCUAAGCAUAUUUUUUGGUGCAAAUUCCUUUGCGGAAAUAACUGCAUGCCCACCUCUAUCUGUCUUGCUCUUGAUUUUUCAAAAAUAUGACAGCACAACAAAUUCUGCGUUUUUUCAACUUAAUUACAUAUAUGUUCCCAAACUAAUGGCUACUUGCAUGGAAGUAAACGAGUGGUAGCUUUACCAUUUGGUGAUCACCAUGCAUUUCAAUAUUGUGAAUUGUAUGAUACUCUUCUUACUUAAAAACUUUAAGUCGUUAGAGAGAUGUUUACCUUAUAACAAAAUCCUUAUUGUGUGGGUUCGAUUCUUUUUCUUAAUGAGCCAACCACGUUUCUUUUUUAUAAUGAUUUUGAUGUCACGUGUCCAAAAUAUCUACGUAUUUGAAUUUAUUGAAGUGUGAGAUCAUCUCAUUUGAAA